Molecule: transfer RNA, 62 nt
Filed under: Acanthochitona mahensis
Lineage: Eukaryota; Metazoa; Mollusca; Polyplacophora; Chitonida; Acanthochitonidae
Description: tRNA-Cys
Source: RNAcentral
AGCUUUAUAAGUUAAAAAGACUAUUAAAUUGCAAAUUUAAAAGUACAGCUUUGUUAAAGCUU